UACGGAGGGUGCAAACGUUGCUCGGAAUCAUUGGGCGUAAAGCGCACGUAGGCGGCUUGUUAAGUCGGAUGUGAAAGCCCUCGGCUCAACCGAGGAAGUGCAUCGAAACUGGCGAGCUUGAAUAUGGAAGAGGGUCGCGGAAUUCCCGGUGUAGAGGUGAAAUCGUAGAUAUCGGGAGGAACACCAGUGGCGAAGGCGGCGACCU
RNAcentral lists this ribosomal RNA (205 nucleotides) under uncultured bacterium. Its description in RNAcentral is "partial 16S ribosomal RNA". It matches the Rfam family "Bacterial small subunit ribosomal RNA", at positions 524 to 730 of the family's 1533-position model. The record is from RNAcentral.